CCACAGCUCAUUAUUACUUUUGGUACGCGCUGUGCCACUUCAAACUCGUACCGUGAGUAAUAAUGCGUGGAGG
MicroRNA precursor from Ophiophagus hannah (king cobra), 73 nucleotides. It matches the Rfam family "mir-126 microRNA precursor family". NCBI's taxonomy places the organism in Eukaryota, Metazoa, Chordata, Lepidosauria, Squamata, Elapidae. The record is from Rfam.